This 107-nucleotide small nuclear RNA is filed under the name Dasypus novemcinctus (nine-banded armadillo). The record is from RNAcentral. Lineage: Eukaryota; Metazoa; Chordata; Mammalia; Cingulata; Dasypodidae.
GUGCUUGCUUUGGCAGCACAUAUAUUAAAAUUGGAAAGAUACAGAGAAGAUUAGCAUGGCCCCUGAGCAAGGAUGACAUGCAAAUUCAUGAAGCGUUCCAUAUUUUU